This is an unclassified non-coding RNA of Cebus imitator (Panamanian white-faced capuchin), 298 nucleotides long. It matches the Rfam family "Metazoan signal recognition particle RNA". From Rfam's summary of the family: The signal recognition particle (SRP) is a universally conserved ribonucleoprotein. NCBI's taxonomy places the organism in Eukaryota, Metazoa, Chordata, Mammalia, Primates, Cebidae. The record is from Ensembl.
GCUGGGCAUGGUGGCACGUGCCUGUAGUCCCAGCUACUUGGGAGACCAAGGUGGGAAGAUUGGUUGACCCCAGGAGUUCUGGGCUGUAGUGCGCUAUGCCAGUCUGCUGUCUUGCACUAAGUUCAGCAUCAAUGUGGUGACCUCCUGGGAGUGGGGGACCACCAGGUUGCUGAAGGAGGGGUGAACCAGCCCAGGUUGGAAACAGAGCAGGUUAAAACUUCCGUGCUGAUCAGUAGUGGCAUGGCGCCUGUGAAUAGCCACUGCACUCCAGCCUGGGCAACAUAGCGAUCUUCAUGCU